CUCUUCCUCUUCAUUCAACAGAAACAACAAUCUUUGAGCCAUUGAUCCGAUCAAGCUUUCGACAAUCGGAUUUCACAGGUGUGGGGUGGCUGGAGUUUGGAUCUGGUCCGUACGCUUAGGGAUCUCCAUCCAUAAGGGUGUCGACCCAAGAAUCAAGGUGGAGGUUUGGCCAAGAGCAACGGAGAUAAACAAGGCUGAUUGGAAUACCCUUUUCGAGCCCUACCCUUUCUUUGAUGCAUACAAGAACUAUCUGGAGAUUGACAUCAUUUUCUGAUCACUGCAGAAAAUGAUGAUGACCUGAGGAAAUGGAAAGGCUGGUUUGAAUCUCGGCUCUGCCAACUGACAUUGAAGGUUAAAGGGUUUCUGUUCAUUUAAGAAUUAUAUGAUCCUGGACCAUUGGAUAUGUAGCAUCCUUUGCCAAGGUUGGUGGAUACACAGUGGAGUACAAGGGAGACAACACUAGUGCAGUGAGAGGAGCAGGUCAUAAUUUCUUUCUCAAUCUUUUUUUUUUUUUGGUAGAAAAUCAGUAAUAGUUUGUUGAUGAUAACAUUUAUAGGAUAAUGAGAAAGUGGAUAUGAGAAGGCUUGUUGAUUGGAACCAAUCAAAGGGUA
Molecule: long non-coding RNA, 611 nt
Organism: Magnolia sinica
Lineage: Eukaryota; Viridiplantae; Streptophyta; Magnoliopsida; Magnoliales; Magnoliaceae
Exons: 4
Source: RefSeq, a predicted model, not a curated record